Molecule: ribosomal RNA, 433 nt
Filed under: uncultured bacterium
Lineage: Bacteria
Description: partial 16S ribosomal RNA
Rfam family: Bacterial small subunit ribosomal RNA
Source: RNAcentral
AAUGAACGCUGGCGGCAUGCCUAACACAUGCAAGUCGAACGAAGGCUUCGGCCUUAGUGGCGCACGGGUGCGUAACGCGUGGGAAUCUGCCCUUGGGUUCGGAAUAACAGUUAGAAAUGACUGCUAAUACCGGAUGAUGUCGUAAGACCAAAGAUUUAUCGCCCAAGGAUGAGCCCGCGUAGGAUUAGCUAGUUGGUGGGGUAAAGGCCUACCAAGGCGACGAUCCUUAGCUGGUCUGAGAGGAUGAUCAGCCACACUGGGACUGAGACACGGCCCAGACUCCUACGGGAGGCAGCAGUGGGGAAUAUUGGACAAUGGGCGAAAGCCUGAUCCAGCAAUGCCGCGUGAGUGAUGAAGGCCUUAGGGUUGUAAAGCUCUUUUACCCGGGAUGAUAAUGGCAGUACCGGGAGAAUAAGCUCCGGCUAACUUCGUG